CUAAAGUGACUGCCGGUGCAAGCCGGAGGAAGGUGGGGAUGACGUCAAAUCAUCAUGCCCCUUAUGACCUGGGCUACACACGUGCUACAAUGGAUAGUACAAAGGGUCGCGAAGCCGCGAGGUGGAGCUAAUCCCAUAAAACUAUUCUCAGUUCGGAUUGUAGGCUGCAACUCGCCUACAUGAAGCCGGAAUCGCUAGUAAUCGUGGAUCAGCAUGCCACGGUGAAUACGUUCCCGGGCCUUGUACACACCGCCCGUCACACCACGAGAGUUUGUAACACCCGAAGUCGGUAGGGUAACCUUUAUGGAGCCAGCCGCCGAAGGUGGGACAGAUAAUUGGGGUGAAGUCGUAACAAGGUAGCCGUAUCGGAAGGUGCGGCUGGAUCACCUCCUUU
This 394-nucleotide ribosomal RNA is filed under the name Listeria monocytogenes. RNAcentral's name for it is "bacterial SSU rRNA". It matches the Rfam family "Bacterial small subunit ribosomal RNA", at positions 1140 to 1533 of the family's 1533-position model. Lineage: Bacteria; Bacillati; Bacillota; Bacilli; Caryophanales; Listeriaceae. The record is from RNAcentral.